RNAcentral lists this ribosomal RNA (497 nucleotides) under uncultured bacterium. RNAcentral describes it as "partial 16S ribosomal RNA". It matches the Rfam family "Bacterial small subunit ribosomal RNA", at positions 28 to 507 of the family's 1533-position model. The record is from RNAcentral.
GAUGAACGCUGGCGGCGUGCCUAAUACAUGCAAGUCGAGCGACCACACGGGGAGCUUGUUCCCCUGAGGUUAGCGACGGACGGGUGAGUAAGGCGUGCAUAAGCUUCCUCUUAUACGGGGAUAACAUCGUGGAACAAGUGCUAAUACCGCAUCAUACGUUCAACCGCAUGAUUCAAGAGUGAAAGACGCUUUUGCCGUCACUAUUAGAUGAUUCCGGGUCGCAUUAGUUAGUGGGUAAGGUAACGGCCAACCAAGGCAACGAAGCUUAGCGGACCUGAGAGGGUGAUCGGCCACACUGGAACUGAGACACGGUCCAGACUCCUACGGGAGGCAGCAGUGGGGAAUCUUGGGCAAUGGGCGAAAGCCUGACGGAGCAAUGCCGCGUGAGUGAUGAAGGUCUUCGGAUCGUAAAGCCCUUUUGUUGGGAAAGAAAAAAUGUAGAAGUAAAUCCGCAUGUUUUGACGGUACCUAAACAGAAAGCCACGGCUAACUACGUG